AUAACAGAGAUUAAAGUGAGUAUGAUACGAAGAGAUGAUAAGAGUUUGGUGACUCGUUUAACUCGGUGGUUUAAGUGUUUGCAGGAAACGAUGAUGGGGGAGGACGAAGAUCUGAGGAGCCAUCGAGUCGUUCAGCAGGUGCUUCUUGCGCAGGACCAGCAGGAAGAGGACGAGCAGGCCGAUGAGCAGGAUGCUGAGCACGGCCAGAGCCGAGAUGGCGGCGACGCUCGGGUUCAUCUCUUUGGCUGCAGACGCAGAGGAAGCAGGUGCAGCAUCGGUGCACCGGACAGCGCCACCUACCGACAGUGGUGAUGGUGAUGUGUGCAGGUUUGCUGGGCGUGCUGUAGCUGAAGCUGGUGACGGUGCAGUUGUAGGUGGACGAGGGCAUCAAACCAGAAACGAUCACCACGUGGGAGCUGGCCAUCUGAGGCUCACGGGCCUGAAAGAGACCGUUUAAAAACUCAGAGACAGAUCCUCAGCUCCUGACAGGCUGAUCCUGAUCCUGAUCCUGAGGAGGCCGCAGGGUUUCCCAUUCACUUCCCUGAGAAACGAGAGAAGGAGGAAACACGUGUGACGACUCAGUGACGCUACGAACACGGAACGUCCCAACGUCCAGGAAACAACAGCAAGAGCUCGGUUUGAAUACUGUUACUGUGUGUGUGUGUCAGUGUGUGUGUGUCUGUGUGUGUCUGUGUGUGUGUGUCUGUGUGUGUCUGUGUGUGUGUGUCUGUGUGUGUGUCAGUGUGUGUGUGUGUGUGUGUGUGUG
This is a long non-coding RNA of Toxotes jaculatrix (banded archerfish), 766 nucleotides long. RefSeq lists it as uncharacterized. NCBI's taxonomy places the organism in Eukaryota, Metazoa, Chordata, Actinopteri, Toxotidae. The record is from RefSeq and is a predicted model, not a curated record. The transcript is spliced from 4 exons.